This is an RNA transcript of Trichoplusia ni (cabbage looper), 1731 nucleotides long. It is a transcript of the gene named ice-structuring glycoprotein-like, with no coding region annotated. The record is from RefSeq and is a predicted model, not a curated record. NCBI's taxonomy places the organism in Eukaryota, Metazoa, Arthropoda, Insecta, Lepidoptera, Noctuidae. The transcript is spliced from 10 exons.
AUUAUUUUGUGUCAUUUCGUUGCCAUCCGUGGAGGGUUAAGGACGUAGGACCAAAACUUAUAUUCAUUCUUCAAAAAUGUUCGAAUUUCGUAUCUUAUUGUGUUCCUUAUUGAUUAUCAGCUGUACUAUAGCGGAAAAUGUGCCGCCACCUCAUGUGGAGUCUCCACCAGAAGCGGAAAAACUGUCCAUGCCUAAGGUGCAAUGGGACAAUAUUUUGAAAGAAGCUAAAGAAGUCUGUAAAUGUACAACAAAACCGAUUGAAAUCAUAACGCCUGCACCGUCCCCGAACCCCUGCGAAGCGAAAGCGACAAACGUUUUCUUCGAAUUGAAUUCAACAGAAUUAGCACCUCUUGAUAACCUGUGCAAAUCGAUAAGGGAUGCAAACUUUAUCGUAACAGCUAUCAAACCAGCCCAGAAUCCACCAGCAGCUGCCGCGUCAACAAAUACAAAAGAAAUUGUAUCACCAUCUACAGCGGCACCAACAUCAUCAACAUCUGGAGCUGGAUCAAUUGCCACAGAGGCGUCAACAAAUACAUCUGGGACUGCAAAACCAGCCACGGCAGCGUCAACAGAUUCAUCCGGGGCUGUAAAACCAGCCACGGCAGAGUCAACAAAUACAUCUGGGACUGUAAAACCAGCCACGUUAGCGCCAACUAAUACAAGUGGCGCCGCAACACCAGCCACGGCAACGCCAACAAAUACAAGUGCCGCUGCAACACCAGCCACGGUAGCCACAACGAAUACAACAGGCGCUGAAACAGCAGCCACGGUAGCCAUAACAAAUACUACUGGGACUGUGCCACCAGCCACAGCAACGUCAACAAAUACAUCUGGGAUUAUAACACCAGCCACGGCAGCGCCAACAAAUACAUCUGGGGCUGCAGCACCAGUCACGACAACACCGAAACCUCCUGUAGCAGAAAACCUUCCCCCGAGUUCUAAAACCAAGCAAAGCUUCUCGCUCAAAGAGAUCUUACUAACGUUCUUCGGUGCAUUCGGAGCAGGCAUCCUGAUAGCUGUCGCAGCCAAAAUUGUCCACACCAAAUACAGAUCGCGAACUUAUGGAGGAAGGAACGCGGCGUAGAGGCGGGCGCCGGCACCACACGAGGACGGGGUCUUAAGCAAAGGUGGCUCUAGAAGUACCAGCUGAACAGGAAUUACAUUAAAUGUGAUUCAAAUAGUUUAGAUAACGUUAAGUAGUUAACCCGUGAAACCAACAGCCUUAUGCAAGAACAACGCAUAGCAGAAUGUUGCCCUUAGAUGUCAUGUUGUCUUUGUCACUGUCAAAUUAAUGAUUGAGAGGGAUAGAUGUUUCAAAACGUCACUUAGUUAAGCGUGUUUGCAUAGGGCCGUAAGUUUAAUAAAAAGUUGUGAAGUGAAACAUAGGCUGAAUUAAUACAACCUUCUUUUUAAUAGAACUUGUCGCAUUCUGAAUGCAGCAAUGCGAUGCAGCAUUUGGCCUGAUUGUGUCAUGAACAUGAUUUGAGUUUAAGCGGCGCCUGGUGGUAUUCCACCAUUCAGACUAACGGUUGUGUCGAGAGAGACGUAAUAUGCUAUCUUGCUCCUGCACCCGCAACAGUCGUACUCUAAUUAAGAGGUGACGCAAGAACACGUGAUGCCAUUACAUACUUUUGACACAUUUUGAUGAAUUGAUUUUCAGUUGAAACAUUUCCUUGAUAUAACAUUGCUAAUUGAUACUUUAUGUGUAUGUUGCCGGCUAAACUUGAUUUU